AAUUGGAGGGCAAGUCUGGUGCCAGCAGCCGCGGUAAUUCCAGCUCCAAUAGCGUAUAUUAAAGUUGUUGCAGUUAAAAAGCUCGUAGUUGAAUUUCGGGAUCAAUAUUUCGGUCAUGCCGUUGGUAUGCACUGUUAUCAUUGAUUUCUCACCUUCUAAAGAACCGUAAUGCCAUUAAUUUGGUGUUACGGGGAAUUAGGACUGUUACCUUGAAAAAACUAGAGUGUUUAAAGCAGGCUCACGCUUGAAUACAUUAGCAUGGAAUAAUGAAAUAGGACAUCCGAUUCUAUUUUGUUGGUUUCUAGGAUCGAUGUAAUGAUUAAUAGGGAUAGUUGGGGGCAUUAGUAUUCAAUUGUCAGAGGUGAAAUUCUUGGAUUUAUUGAAGACUAACUACUGCGAAAGCAUUUGCCAAGGAUGUUUUCAUUAAUCAAGAACGAAAGUUAGGGGAUCGAAGACGAUCAGAUACCGUCGUAGUCUUAACCAUAAACUAUGCCGACUAGGGAUCGGAUGAUGUUAAUUUUUUAAUGACUCAUUCGGCGCCUUACGGGAAACCAAAGUGU
RNAcentral lists this ribosomal RNA (560 nucleotides) under uncultured Glomus. RNAcentral describes it as "SSU rRNA". It matches the Rfam family "Eukaryotic small subunit ribosomal RNA", at positions 546 to 1106 of the family's 1831-position model. The record is from RNAcentral. Lineage: Eukaryota; Fungi; Glomeromycota; Glomeromycetes; Glomerales; Glomeraceae.